UUAGAAAUUUUAAAACAACAGUUAAGAUCAUAGACUUCAGUAUAUAUAGCAUUUACGGAAAAACUCAAUAUUUUCGUAGGGGUUAACACAUAGAUUUUGAGAAAAAUUCAAAAAUAUGAAAAAUAUUUUUUUAAUGCAUAGUUGAAUCUUGCACUAACUUAUGAUGAAGGUGAAAGAAGUUUAGAACCUUUGUUGUCUCUGUUUCUCUUGAGAAUAGCGAUUUUAUAGUGGUUAGUCUACCAAUUUGGAGAUUAUUCUGAGGUUUUACUAAAUUAAUUGAUAAAAAAUUAAAAUGAUGCUUCUCUAUCAUGAAAAAUAGUUUAAUAUACAUUAAUACAAAUGUAGAAUAUGUUUAGAAAUUUUAAAACAACUCUAAAGGUCAUAUGCUUCAGUAUAUAGAGCAUUUACCAAAAAAUCAAUAUUUGCAUAGAGGUACACGUAGAUUUUAAGAAAACACAAAAAAUGACAAUAUUGAUUUAAUGCAUAAUUGCAUCCUGCACAAACAUAUGAUGAAGGUCAAAGAGGUUUAGAACCUUUUUUGUCUCAGUUUCUCCUGAAAAUAGUGGUUUUAUAGUGGUUUUUUUUUGUCAAAAGAUUUUAUAGUGGUUAGUACACCAAUUUAGAAAAUAUUAUAAAAUUUUACUAAAUUAAGUGAUAAGAAAUUAAAAUGAUGUAUAUGUACCAUGAAAGAGAGUUUAAUAUACAUUAAUACAAAUUUAGAAUAUGUUUAGAAAUUUUAAAACAACACUAAAGAUCAUAGGCUUUAGUAUAUAUAAAGCAUUUACCCAAAAAACUCAAUAGUUUCGUAGGGAGUUAUAACACAUAGAUUGAGAAAAAAUCAAAAAUGUGAUAAUAUUUUUUUAAUGCAUAGUUGAAUCUUGCACUAACAUAUGAUGAAUGUCAAAGAGGUUUGGAACCUUUGUUGUCUUCGUUUAUCUAGAAAAUAACGAUUUUAUAGUGGUUAAUCUACCAAUUUAUGGAGUAUAUGAAGUUUUACUAAAUUAGUUGAAAAAAUUAAAAUGAUGUCCAUGUACCAUAAAAGAGAGUUUAAUAUAGAUUAAUACAAAUGUAUAAUAUUUUUAGAAAUUUUAAACAACACUAAAAAUCUUAGGCUUCAGUGUAUAGAACAUUUACUGAAAAACUCAAUAUUUUCGUAGGGGUUAUUAACACAAAGAUUUUGUGAAAAUUUCAAAAAUAUGACAAUGUUAUUUUAAU
Molecule: long non-coding RNA, 1215 nt
Organism: Brassica rapa (field mustard)
Lineage: Eukaryota; Viridiplantae; Streptophyta; Magnoliopsida; Brassicales; Brassicaceae
Source: RefSeq, a predicted model, not a curated record